Molecule: ribosomal RNA, 253 nt
Filed under: uncultured bacterium
Lineage: Bacteria
Description: partial 16S ribosomal RNA
Rfam family: Bacterial small subunit ribosomal RNA
Source: RNAcentral
UACGUAGGGUGCAAGCGUUAAUCGGAAUUACUGGGCGUAAAGCGUGCGCAGGCGGUGAUGUAAGACAGGUGUGAAAUCCCCGGGCUUAACCUGGGAACUGCAUUUGUGACUGCAUCGCUGGAGUGCGGCAGAGGGGGAUGGAAUUCCGCGUGUAGCAGUGAAAUGCGUAGAGAUGUGGAGGAAUACCGAUGGCGAAGGCAGCCCCCUGGGAUAACACUGACGCUCAGGCACGAAAGCGUGGGGAGCAAACAGG